CAGUCGAGAAUCAUUCACAAUGGGCGAAAGCCUGAUGGUGUGACGCCGCGUGGAGGAUGAAGGUCUUCGGAUUGUAAACUCCUGUCAUGUGAGAGUAAAGCCGGGCUUUAACUGAGUGCCGGUUUGAGAGUAUCACAAGAGGAAGAGGCGGCUAACUCUGUGCCAGCAGCCGCGGUAAUACAGAGGCCUCAAGCGUUGUUCGGAAUCACUGGGCGUAAAGGGUGCGUAGGCGGCGCGGAAAGUCAGGGGUGAAAUCCCGGAGCUCAACUCCGGAACUGCCUUUGAUACUCCCGCGCUUGAGAACUGGAGGGGACAUCGGAAUUCACGGUGGAGCAGUGAAAUGCGUGGAUAUCGUGAGGAACACUAGUGGCGAAGGCGGAUGUCUGGACAGUAUCUGACGCUGAGGCACGAAGGCCAGGGGAGCGAACGGGAUUAGA
RNAcentral lists this ribosomal RNA (437 nucleotides) under uncultured bacterium. Its description in RNAcentral is "bacterial SSU rRNA". It matches the Rfam family "Bacterial small subunit ribosomal RNA", at positions 352 to 782 of the family's 1533-position model. The record is from RNAcentral.